This is a non-coding RNA of Solenopsis invicta (red fire ant), 77 nucleotides long. The record is from Rfam. NCBI's taxonomy places the organism in Eukaryota, Metazoa, Arthropoda, Insecta, Hymenoptera, Formicidae.
AUUACGUUGCGGCUCGUCAUCGGGCACUUUGCUUCUUUUUUCCAUGCAAGCUGCCUUUUGAAGGGCAACACUGUGAU